Molecule: ribosomal RNA, 623 nt
Filed under: Salmonella enterica subsp. enterica serovar Kiambu
Lineage: Bacteria; Pseudomonadati; Pseudomonadota; Gammaproteobacteria; Enterobacterales; Enterobacteriaceae
Description: partial 23S ribosomal RNA
Rfam family: Bacterial large subunit ribosomal RNA
Source: RNAcentral
GGGUUGUGAGGUUAAGCGACUAAGCGUACACGGUGGAUGCCCUGGCAGUCAGAGGCGAUGAAGGGCGUGCUAAUCUGCGAUAAGCGCCGGUAAGGUGAUAUGAACCGUUAUAACCGGCGAUACCCGAAUGGGGAAACCCAGUGUGAUUCGUCACACUAUCAUUAACUGAAUCCAUAGGUUAAUGAGGCGAACCGGGGGAACUGAAACAUCUAAGUACCCCGAGGAAAAGAAAUCAACCGAGAUUCCCCCAGUAGCGGCGAGCGAACGGGGAGGAGCCCAGAGCCUGAAUCAGCAUGUGUGUUAGUGGAAGCGUCUGGAAAGUCGCGCGAUACAGGGUGACAGCCCCGUACACAAAAGCGCAUGUGUUGUGAGCUCGAUGAGUAGGGCGGGACACGUGGUAUCCUGUCUGAAUAUGGGGGGACCAUCCUCCAAGGCUAAAUACUCCUGACUGACCGAUAGUGAACCAGUACCGUGAGGGAAAGGCGAAAAGAACCCCGGCGAGGGGAGUGAAAAAGAACCUGAAACCGUGUACGUACAAGCAGUGGGAGCACAGGUUUACCUGUGUGACUGCGUACCUUUUGUAUAAUGGGUCAGCGACUUAUAUUCUGUAGCAAGGUUAACCG